GCUUCCUACGUUACUUUGUAUUUGUUGUUCCUGUAAAACCUUUGAGAGGCCAGAAGAAAACUAGGCUAAAUUAUAAUCAUGCUUGUGAUCUGAUUGUUAUUUGGUUCAAUAACAUUAAUAGCAUCCAACAUUCUGUGUUUUUCCCUUUAAUGUUUAUCAUUUAUUCUUGGAUCAGUUCUUUUCGUUAUAGUUGCAUUAAGAUGAGUGUGUGAACGGUUGUAAUAUUGCCUGCUGGCUGUGAUAGUUAAAUAUUUUGGUUUAGUUCUAGAGGCAAUAUACAGCUGAUGGGCACAGUUUUGCUGGUGCAGUGAGUCAAUAACAAAAUUAAUUGUGCUUGACUGAGUUUGAUCUUCAUCGACAUCAACCUGUGCCCACUUAAAAUGAACGAGUAUGAGAUGAAGCUUGAACCAGGUGAGCUUGCGUUCUAAAUUUAGGUGCCAUUAGGUGAUGCCUGGGAGGCUGGUUCAGACAGAAAAUUAUAUAUUUCUUGAUAGUGAAAUGUAUGACAUGUACCCCAGAAGGUUUCAGAUUCUAUUAUUUGUAGGCUAUGAGCUUGAGAGAGCCUUUCAGGCUAUGAUAGUAGUAGGAUUUUGGAGCACGCAAAGAUCCAGUAUAGGACCUUUAUUUAGGGAGAGCUUUUAGAACAUGGUCCUCUUGAUCCUCCUAUCAUUAUCCCAAUAAGAAAUCUUACUUCUUUUUUGUUAUCAAUCAUGGAUGUUCUAAUUUCAUUUUGCUUGUUUAUUUGCUUUAUAUUGUAUCAGCUGACAAGACCUUCUGGUUUUAGAUUCAGGACAUCGGAUAGCCCGCCGCUUUUGAGGUUGGGCCAGAGAGACGUGCUCAUUUAUCUACUAAUGCUGAACCACAUAGCUUCCUUAUAGCAGCAGAAAAAUGCGCUUCAGCAGCAGGUUGACGACUUUCAGAUUCAGUUAGCAUUGUGGUCUUAGGCUCUGGGAUUAUGUUCAGCCUAGAGAUGGUAGAGAGCAUGACCAUGAUAUGGAAGCGUCUUGUGAUUUUGAGAGUCAUGGAAAGUGAUAUAUCAUCUUCCGAUGGCUCUGGUGGCUACGAUAGAAGUAACAGCAGUGACAGUGGGAUAAACUAUAUUCGAGUGAACAUAUCCUCGAUAUCCUUAAACUACGAUGUUUGCUAAGAUCAGCUCUAAUUUUGACUACAUUUGCAUACAAAUGAGUGCUAAAUGUUAUUUUGCAUGCUGGCUCUGUGAUAUUAGCUAGACUAAUAAAAUAUUAUGGCCUACUAGUACAAAUUACGAGCUCAACUUCAAUUUAUACUCCCUAUAAUAUGGGCAAUUUUAUUAUAUCUACAACAAAUGUUUCUUUGUUUGUUAAAUCAUCGAAUGUGAUUAUUAUAAUUUAUUGUUUUAUUUCUGAUUUUAGUUUUUUAUGCUUCUUUUGCCAAUCUCUAAUCAAAAAGCAUCAUAGGCACUUCUUUAUAUCAUUGCGUUUUAUGUUUUAGCAGAUACAAAGGUUAACUUGUGCAGAGAGUCAGUGACCAAUUAGUUGUUCUAGGCUGAGUUUGACCAUAAUCAACCAAGGAUUGAGGCCUAGAGCUACUGAAAGCUAUCAGCAUGAGAUGAGGCCUGAACCAGGUGAUUAGUUCUUAAAAGUAAAUUCAUAUACAAGUUUCUUUGAGCAUGUUAUGCUCCUUCAUUUUGAUGCUUACGAAAAUCGUGUCUUGUUGAGGUGGCUUAAACCUAUGCACUGCAUAGUAUUAAAAUCUCACUCGUUCACGCAUAUAUAUGCACACAUAGAUAUACACCUCAUCUGGCUCUCUCCCUGAAAAACACAAAACAAACCAUCGCUAAACAGAAUGAAUGAAGAGAUGGACAAUAUAUGGCUGCCAAACCAAAUGGGUAUUAAAGUACAUUUAUCGCUCAGCUGCUCGGUUGUUCAUGUUGAUGAACAGAAUAUUUCUCUGAGAAAUGCUUACAUGCUAUAUUAUCUAGUCUCAUGCUUUCUCCUUGUUAUCAUUUAUUUUUGCAUUGUCUGAUUGGAUUAAUGACAUUAAUUGUAAAUUGUGGAAUGAUAUUUAUGCUAGAAAACGCUAGAAAACUUCA
Mercurialis annua (annual mercury) is the source of this 2071-nucleotide long non-coding RNA. RefSeq lists it as uncharacterized. NCBI's taxonomy places the organism in Eukaryota, Viridiplantae, Streptophyta, Magnoliopsida, Malpighiales, Euphorbiaceae. The record is from RefSeq and is a predicted model, not a curated record. The transcript has 2 exons.